UACGUAGGGCGCAAGCGUUGUCCGGAAUUAUUGGGCGUAAAGAGCUCGUAGGCGGUUUGUCGCGUCUGCUGUGAAAUCCCGAGGCUCAACCUCGGGCUUGCAGUGGGUACGGGCAGACUAGAGUGCGGUAGGGGAGACUGGAAUUCCUGGUGUAGCGGUGGAAUGCGCAGAUAUCAGGAGGAACACCGAUGGCGAAGGCAGGUCUCUGGGCCGCAACUGACGCUGAGGAGCGAAAGCAUGGGGAGCGAACAGG
RNAcentral lists this ribosomal RNA (253 nucleotides) under uncultured bacterium. RNAcentral's name for it is "partial 16S ribosomal RNA". It matches the Rfam family "Bacterial small subunit ribosomal RNA", at positions 524 to 776 of the family's 1533-position model. The record is from RNAcentral.